This 253-nucleotide ribosomal RNA is filed under the name uncultured bacterium. RNAcentral's name for it is "partial 16S ribosomal RNA". It matches the Rfam family "Bacterial small subunit ribosomal RNA", at positions 524 to 776 of the family's 1533-position model. The record is from RNAcentral.
GACAGAGGGUGCAAACGUUGUUCGGAAUUACUGGGCGUAAAGCGUGUGUAGGCGGCUUCGUAAGUCGGAUGUGAAAGCCCCGGGCUCAACCCGGGAAGUGCACUCGAUACUGCGAAGCUUGAGUACUGGAGAGGUUGGUGGAAUUCUCGGUGUAGAGGUGAAAUUCGUAGAUAUCGAGAGGAACACCGGUGGCGAAGGCGGGUCUCUGGGCCGAUACUGACGCUGAGGAGCGAAAGCGUGGGGAGCGAACAGG